This is a long non-coding RNA of Heterocephalus glaber (naked mole-rat), 663 nucleotides long. NCBI's taxonomy places the organism in Eukaryota, Metazoa, Chordata, Mammalia, Rodentia, Bathyergidae. The record is from Ensembl.
CAGCAAGCUGGGCUCUGCUCGCCUCUUCCAGGCCAAAGACAGAUGGGAGAGGUGCCAGGCUUCCGUCCAGACCGGGGCAGCCAGCCAGCCCCUGCCUCCGAGGUCCCCGUCAUGUGCCCUGCCCCAGCCUGCUGGAGGGACUGAGACCCAGAGGCACAGGCAGGGCUGGCUGAGGAAAGCCUCCUGACAGUGCUGUCCUGUACACAGCCACAUGGGACGACAAUGGCCCAGAGUGGGAAAGCAGAGGACAGGACAACCGACAGGCUCUGGCUAUGUUGCCUACACUGGUCUCAAACUCCUGGACUCAAAGCAAUUCUCCUGCCUUGGCCUCCUGAGGAGCUGUGUGUGCACCACAGAAACCAGUUCUUAAUAAAAACAAAACUAAUCAAUGGGGAACGGAAAGAUCUAAACUCACAGAUCCCAGACUCAAAUGGAGCUGCAGCCACACGGCGGCCCCAGGCCACGGCCCAGCUCCUGGAACUCGUCAUCUUCCCUGCCGGCUGGAAGGACCCACGAGGGACUCGAGGGACUCGGGGGCGCGCUGACCGCCCCGCCCCGCCCCGGGGGUAGGAAUCUGCCUGGCAACAGGAGCCCCUGCACCGCGGCGCCGCCACCUACCCCGGCGGGGGCGGGCGUUGGCCUCUCGGAGCGGCUGAAACCGAU